CGCUGGCGGACUGCUAACACUGCAGUUUAACUGGAGCACGGGAGCAUCUGGUGGUAGUGGCGAACGGGUGAGUAUAUAUCGGAACGUGCCCAGUCGUCGGGGGAUAACGCAGCGAAAGCUGUGCUAAUACCGCAUACGAUCUACGGAUGAAAGCGGGGGAUCGCAAGACCUCGCGCGAUUGGAUGCUGGCCGAUAUCAGAUUAGCUAGUUGGUGGGGUAAAGUGCCCACCAAGGCGACGAUCUGUAGCUGGUCUGAGAGGACGACCAGCCACACUGGAACUGAGACACGGUCCAGACUCCUACGGGAGUGCAGCAGUGGGGAAUUUUGGACAAUGGGCGCAAGCCUGAUCCAGCAAUGCCGCGUGCAGGAUGAAGGCCUUCGGGUUGUAAACUGCUUUUGUACGGAACGAAACGGUGAGCUCUAAAUAAAGUUUGCUAAUGACGGUACCGUAAGAAUAAGCACCGGCUAACUACGUGCCAGCCAGCCGCGGUAAUACGUAGGGUGCGAGCGUUAAUCGGAAAUUACUGGGCGUAAAGACGUGCGCAGGCGGUUAUGUACAGACAGACUGUGAAAUACCCGGGACUCAAAACGACCU
Molecule: ribosomal RNA, 596 nt
Filed under: uncultured beta proteobacterium
Lineage: Bacteria; Pseudomonadati; Pseudomonadota; Betaproteobacteria
Description: bacterial SSU rRNA
Rfam family: Bacterial small subunit ribosomal RNA
Source: RNAcentral